Molecule: ribosomal RNA, 253 nt
Filed under: uncultured bacterium
Lineage: Bacteria
Description: partial 16S ribosomal RNA
Rfam family: Bacterial small subunit ribosomal RNA
Source: RNAcentral
UACGGGGGGGGCAAGCGUUGUUCGGAAUUACUGGGCGUAAAGGGCUCGUAGGUGGCCAACUAAGUCAGACGUGAAAUCCCCAGGCUCAACCUGGGAACUGCGUCUGAUACUGGAUGGCUUGAAUUCGGGAGAGGGAUGCAGAAUUCCAGGUGUAGCGGUGAAAUGCGUAGAUAUCGUGAGGAACACCAGAGGCGAAGGCGGCUACCUGGACAAUUGCUGACGCUCAGGCACGAAAGCGUGGGGAGCAAAAGGG